GACGAACGCUGGCGGCGUGCCUAAUACAUGCAAGUCGAGCGAAGUUUUUCUGGUGCUUGCACCGGAAAAACUUAGCGGCGAACGGGUGAGUAACACGUAAAGAACCUGCCUCAUAGACUGGGACAACUAUUGGAAACGAUAGCUAAUACCGGAUAAUAGCAUUAACUGCAUGGUUGAUGUUUAAAAGUUGGUUUUGCUAACACUAUGAGAUGGCUUUGCGGUGCAUUAGCUAGUUGGUGGGGUAAAGGCCUACCAAGGCGACGAUGCAUAGCCGACCUGAGAGGGUGAUCGGCCACACUGGGACUGAGACACGGCCCAGACUCCUACGGGAGGCAGCAGUAGGGAAUCUUCCGCAAUGGGCGAAAGCCUGACGGAGCAACGCCGCGUGAGUGAAGAAGGAUUUCGGUUCGUAAAGCUCUGUUGUUAGGGAAGAAUGAUUGUGUAGUAACUAUACACAGUAGAGACGGUACCGAACCAGAAAGCCACGGCUAACUACGU
Molecule: ribosomal RNA, 498 nt
Filed under: uncultured bacterium
Lineage: Bacteria
Description: partial 16S ribosomal RNA
Rfam family: Bacterial small subunit ribosomal RNA
Source: RNAcentral